RNAcentral lists this long non-coding RNA (1101 nucleotides) under Olea europaea subsp. europaea. The record is from RNAcentral. Lineage: Eukaryota; Viridiplantae; Streptophyta; Magnoliopsida; Lamiales; Oleaceae.
GUCCUGAAAGAGAAAAUAUCACUGUUUUACUUUUUCAUGGAGAAAACCAGUUUUUGCAAUUUGCUAUACCCUGGUGCUUGAAAUCACUUUGCUGGGUUCUAAGAAUAUAGCCACCUUUUCCAGUUUGUACCCAUUAGGCAGAUACAAAGGCAUUACAUGCUAAAGUCCAUACAAUAAAGCCAUAAUUGCCUCUCAUGGGGUGGACGAGUUGUUGGAAUAGAUGAGCGUGGAGAUCUUUGAUCACGAGUUCGAUUCCUCGUACCAACACUUUCUUGGUCGAACCUGUCGCACCGAGCUUACCUAGUGCGGUUUAUCUAGCUGGCGUGAUUUGCAGGCUAUUGCGUCAGUCCGAGGGUUUACCCAAUGCAAACCCGAAGGGUGGCGGUCGUGGGUUCCCCCUUAUUCAAAAAAAAUAAAUAAAUAAAAAAUAAAGUCAUAAUUUAAUGGACCUUAUAAAGAGGUACUCUUUUUACUAGAAUUGCUCAACUCUGCACUCAUAUAGCAUUCCCUAAACAAUUCAUUGUUUAUUUGAUUUUGGAAGUAUAUGGUUGCAACAUGUCAUAUACUUAUUGAAGAUAGUAGGUCAAAAAAAUCUCAUGGACCACUCAAUUUAUUACCUGAUGCAGAAAUAGUUUGGUAUGAAGGUAGGAAGAAUUGGUGCAGAUUCAUUUUGUUGAUUGAGGCCAUUUAUUAGUUAUAGAGAUGUAGGGUAUGCUUCAUGCUUGGCACGCAUAGUAUACAAGAUUAAAGAAGAUUAAGAAAGAUGGGUAUUCGAUAAAAUUUGACACUUGUACUGUUCAAUUAUAUCGGUACUGUGAUUAAGAAAUAGGAUGCAAAGCAUUAAAUUUCCUUACUUUCAUUCUUUUCUACAUUCGUGGCUGUGAAUUUGUAAUGGUUAAGGUGGUGGGUCUUGAGACCAACAAACCUAUUAUUUGAUGUGUGGAAACGAAGGCGUACAGUUGUUUGUCACAGCCCUACUAAUGGAUGAUGGAAUUGUUUCCUUGUGAUGUGAGUAAUCUUGAAUUUGUUAAUCAAACAGCCUGUCUGGUAUUUGAAAUUGAAACCAAUUAAUAUGUCGAUCAUUUUGAAGUUAGUUUUGCA